Non-coding RNA from Vicia faba (fava bean), 363 nucleotides. Lineage: Eukaryota; Viridiplantae; Streptophyta; Magnoliopsida; Fabales; Fabaceae. The record is from the annotation of a GenBank genome assembly.
AUGGUGAGCGGUGUUCGCGGCGUGGUGGCUCGGUGUGGUCGGGAAGCCGAUUGCGGAGGGAUGUGUGAGGGCAGGACGGCGAGUUCCAGUGGGUCUGUGAUGGUUUCGGUUAGAGUGCUUUUUACCGGCGCUGAAGCUCCACGCCACGUGAACCACCCACACCGUUCUCACCUUGUGUUCUUCCGCGAUCUUCCACCACGGCCAACACCAAACACGCCCCAGCAACUUCCUCGUCGUUUCACAGGACCUUCUAUCGUGACCCAUCUGAAAACACAUAACAACUUUCAAUUUGUUCGGCCAGCCAUUUCCUUCCACCAACAACAACACCUCUUUUUCCAUUGUUUUAAGUGGUUGGUGGGAUGA